RNAcentral lists this ribosomal RNA (600 nucleotides) under Hepatozoon felis. RNAcentral describes it as "SSU rRNA". It matches the Rfam family "Eukaryotic small subunit ribosomal RNA", at positions 214 to 801 of the family's 1831-position model. Lineage: Eukaryota; Apicomplexa; Hepatozoidae. The record is from RNAcentral.
AUAAAAAACCAAUACAUACUUUUUCAAGUAUGAAAUUUGGUGAUUUACAAUAACUUAGCAAAUCGCAUAGUGAAAACAGGCGAUAAAUCAUUCAAGUUUCUGACCUAUCAGCUUUCGACGGUAUGGUAUUGGCUUACCGUGGCAGUGACGGUUAACGGGGGAUUAGGGUUCGAUUCCGGAGAGGGAGCCUGAGAAACGGCUACCACAUCUAAGGAAGGCAGCAGGCGCGCAAAUUACCCAAUUCUAACAGCAUAAGAGAGGUAGUGACAAGAAAUAACAAUACAAGGCAGUUAAAAUGCUUUGUAAUUGGAAUGAUAGAAAUUUAAACACUUUUUAAAGUAUCAAUUGGAGGGCAAGUCUGGUGCCAGCAGCCGCGGUAAUUCCAGCUCCAAUAGCGUAUAUUAAAAUUGUUGCAGUUAAAAAGCUCGUAGUUGAAUUUCUGUUAAAAAUAACCGGUCUGCUUUUAAUAAAAGUGGUAUCUUGGUGUGUUUUUAGCAAUAAUGUCCUUUGAAAUGUUUUUUACUUUAUUGUAAUAAAUAAUAUUCAGGAUUUUUACUUUGAGAAAAUUAGAGUGUUUCUAGCAGGCUAACGCUUUGAAUA